AUGUAUGAAGUAAAUAAAGAAAAGUAUAUUGACAUUUUCUACAUGAUUGUUUUCCAGGUUGGCUGGAUAGAAUACAACUCUAAUGGAGCCAGUUUUGCUGGAUUUAGACCCCUUCCCAGAGUCUUCCACAUUCAGUGGCAAGACAAAAGUCAGGACAACUGGCCACAGCUUGGGAUGCAGUGGAUGACUUUGGCAUCUUCAAUGUCUAACCAAGUCCUAAGUACUCCACAAGACCUGCUUCAGCUGCAUUCAUGGCCACUAGAACAAAUUGUUCUCCUCUACCUGUUCCUCUAGGAGAAGACUUCAUAUGCUUGAAUUGGAGAAUCCCCCUGAUUCUCCAAUAAAUUUGAGGCCUGUCUGUU
RNAcentral lists this long non-coding RNA (362 nucleotides) under Monodelphis domestica (gray short-tailed opossum). RNAcentral's name for it is "lncRNA (ENSMODG00000050710.1)". Lineage: Eukaryota; Metazoa; Chordata; Mammalia; Didelphimorphia; Didelphidae. The record is from RNAcentral.